RNAcentral lists this non-coding RNA (180 nucleotides) under Deltaproteobacteria bacterium. Its description in RNAcentral is "6S RNA". It matches the Rfam family "6S / SsrS RNA". From Rfam's summary of the family: E. coli 6S RNA was the first non coding RNA to be sequenced, but its function was unknown until recently. It consists of 184 nucleotides that fold into an extended hairpin structure with a large single-stranded internal bulge. The record is from RNAcentral. Lineage: Bacteria; Pseudomonadati; Myxococcota; Myxococcia.
UGACCCCUGCCGUGUACGUGAUUGGAAGAUGUUCUUUGUCCCAACACUGAUUAAAAGGGGGCUUUCCCUGGUUUUGGUGUGCAUGUUCUGCUUGUACGGAAAAGCCUGAAGAAGCUAUAAGGUCCCAAAUUUGCUAUUUGGUUCAAAGUCCUUUCAACACGGCAUAUUGGCGGGGGUUUU